RNAcentral lists this ribosomal RNA (269 nucleotides) under uncultured archaeon. RNAcentral describes it as "partial 16S ribosomal RNA". It matches the Rfam family "Archaeal small subunit ribosomal RNA", at positions 477 to 747 of the family's 1478-position model. The record is from RNAcentral.
CAGCACCUCAAGUGGUCAGGAUGAUUAUUGGGCCUAAAGCAUCCGUAGCCGGCGCUGUAAGUUUUCGGUUAAAUCUGUACGCUCAACGUACAGGCUGCCGGGAAUACUGCAGCGCUAGGGAGUGAGAGAGGUAGACGGUACUCGGUAGGAAGGGGUAAAAUCCUUUGAUCUAUUGAUGACCACCUGUGGCGAAGGCGGUCUACCAGAACACGUCCGACGGUGAGGGAUGAAAGCUGGGGAGCAAACCGGAUUAGAUACCCGCGUAGUCC